Molecule: long non-coding RNA, 179 nt
Organism: Chionomys nivalis (European snow vole)
Lineage: Eukaryota; Metazoa; Chordata; Mammalia; Rodentia; Cricetidae
Exons: 3
Source: RefSeq, a predicted model, not a curated record
UUCCUGUGUGGGGUUCAGACACCUGCCUCCCCUGCCUACUUCGGGUGCCUUCUUCAGAAAUGAAGUAAUGAGCUGGCUGUGUCCGCCAUACUAGUAGAGCGAGCCUUCUGCGAAGGAUGCGGUGGAACGCUUUCUGGAGUGUUCUGGGCCUCAGCCUCCUAGUAGAUGGCACUUGGCAG